This 5488-nucleotide long non-coding RNA is filed under the name Spirodela polyrhiza (greater duckweed). RNAcentral describes it as "long non-coding RNA (SPOL_LNC001467)". The record is from RNAcentral. Lineage: Eukaryota; Viridiplantae; Streptophyta; Magnoliopsida; Alismatales; Araceae.
GUCAACGGAGAAAAACACUAUUUGUGAAGAAAAUAUAAGAAUUUUGUCCUCAUAAAAGUCCAAUAUCUCAUCAGGGACCAGAGUCAGCCACCCUGGUUGACCACCGUUAUGCAUUUUAUCAACUGAUAACCGAAAGAUAGUGCAAUCCCAUGUGGCACAGCAUUGGUCCUCACGUGGCACCAUUCACCAACUGCCAAAUGGCACAACAGAUGAGUUGACUUUUUCAUGCCUUGAGGAACCUGUUGAGCCAGUCAAUCAGGUCUUGGUGGGCUUCCUCCGCCGCCUUCACCGCAAAUUCAUCACCGUCGUCAAACCUCACGGUCCAUCCGUGGGACACCCCGGGGAAUAUCUUCACGAAGCUCUCCAACUGGCCAAAAAUCCAAAUAAAUAAAUAAAUAUUAUAUACCAAUUAUACAUAUGUUUAUGGUAUAAUGAGAAAUUAUAAACUGCAUGAAUUAUGGAUUAACCCAGACGGAUCAAGAUCUCAUUAAAGAAAAUAGCACAAGAAAGGGGUCAUAAUUGGAAAAUUUUCUAGCAGAUUCAAGUAAAAAAAAUUUCAAAAAUUAUUGAUCAGAACCAGCUGGAUUUACCUGGGUGUUUGAAGAUAAAACCUCCUCGAAUUGUUUAACCAGUUCAGGUGGAGACAUGUUGUCAGCUUCUGCUCCGAGAAUGGCAAGGUGGGACUUCACCUCUGCGCUCAUACAGAAGAAAGGAAGAUCAAAGAGUUAAUAUCAUUUAUGGACAUGAAGCUGCAGGUAGAUGACGGAUUAAACAGAUUAAUUACCUUUUAUAUCAUCAAGCUUGACAAAAGAAGGGUGUAACAGCACACCAGUCUGGAUGUCCCCAGAUUUUGCGAGCUCUGUGACUACCUUGGCUGAUAGAAGCAUGAAAAAAAUACAUAGAGAAUUAAUAUUCUUCACUAUUUUUUUAUUAAUAUUCCCCUAAUUAGUUAUUUAUUUCUCAGAAUAAUUAAAUGGAAUGGAUCCAAUGUAACCCACUUUUUUCUAAAAGCCCAGUAUGCAGAAAAGUUAAUAGCGGGUGGUUUUCUGACAGCUGAAUCCAGAACAUUUUUCCAGUAUUUAUAUCUAAAAAAAAUCCAGAGAAGAUAAUUUCCAUAAAAGGAAAGUUAGCAGCGGCUGGUUUUUUGCUGACAGCUUAAUCCAGCACAUAUUUUUGUAGCCAGAAUAAAAUCAUGAACCGUAAAUGAGAUAGUUUCCAGUUAAAUGGAACCACUGACUUUUAUAUCUAUGAAUCUUGGGUCAUAUCUACACUUUAUUUUCAUCUACCAAUUAUUGCAUGUAUGAAAAAAAUAAUCUAUACAUAUAUAUAUGUAUAUAUAUGCGUAUCUACAGAAAAAGAAGUGGCUUACCGCCCCAGCAGAAGCCUGCAGCCCCAACAGAAGACAGGCCCUUGAGUUUCAGGGCGGUGACUACAUUCUUCGCAUUUUCAUACCCCCUUUCCUGAAAAAUAAGGUGAAAUAUAUUAACAGGAGUAUUAAAUGGCAAGAAAAUAACAGAGCUGAUGAAAGCCGCCAGUCACCAAAUAAUUUGAAACCCAUCAAGAGCAAAAGACUUUUUGAAGCGAAAAUAAUUUAUAAAUGCAAUGUGUAAAUCUGGCAUCUGAAUAUUUGUUUCGAAAUUAUUAAAACCCAAUAGAUGAUAAAUUAGAGGGGCCCUGCAAGAUGCCAAACAGCAUCCUAACACUCAAUUUGCAUCAAUGAACUCCAUAGCCAAUAAGCUUAUAAGCUUUUCGGGUGAUUCCUGCAAUGGAAUGGAAUCCUGUAGACUCCAAUGAUAUUAUAACAUUUUCAGGAAAACAAGUUUUUUCAACGAAUCUUUGAUGAACCAGUUGCUUGGUAGGGAAACAAGACUGGAUUUUGGCAGAGGAACAAGACUGGUUUUUUUUUCCGAAAUCUGAGAUCAAUGAGUAAAUUAUUUUACUUUAAAAAAAAAUUUGGAUGAAACAAACCGUUGGAUGUGAUUUUAACCAAACUGGAAAUGGUUUAUCAGCAUUCUCUCGCACAAAUGGUUCGCCAUAGAAGAAAUCAGGAGCCACCACAAAGAAGCCGGCAGCAGCAACCUUGUCAGCAAUUUUCCUUAGUAGGAAAAUAAACCAUGUGUUAACGCAUAUCAUAUAAUACUUCUCAUAAUAUUGAUCAAAUAAUACUUCUCAUAUAGCAUUACUCAAUUCAUUUUAAGUGAGAUAUUCAUACUUCAAUAAAAUGUACUCUAAAUAUCACAUCCAAGAUAUUUUACUUCACAAAAGAAGUGCACUUUAAUUUUCCUUAGAAAUUAUUGGCUUCCUGGACUGCCCUUGGAGAAUUUUUUUUUUAAUCAGGAAUACGUUUCCCACCAAAUAAUGAAGGCCAAAAGCCUCUAGCAAUAUAUUUUUUUUCUUAAUCUGGAAAAGUGUAUGCAAGAGUAGCGACCUUAUGAUCAAUGGAAAUAAUCCGUAGAAGGUAAAAGUAAGACAACAUUAUAUUUCAAAAAAAUAUAACCAAAUCUUUGCAUGCAGAUUCCCAAGUGAGUCAAAGGCUUUGGAUCAAAAGAAGUAGGGCCAGAGGUACCCAAGAGCCCAAUACCUCCAGACAGAUAAAGUUAUGGCCAUUGCUGCUGUGUGUAUGGCAAAACAUGUGGAGUAUUAUUCCAAAAAAAUAUGCUUUCUAACUUGGGCAUCAGCUAGGAAAGAGAUGGUCAACUGUAAAUUAGUAUUUUACCUCAAGUUUGGAGCCUCAAAACCUGUAAAUAGAAGAAUUUAGACCGCAGAGUGAAUGAACGUUGACUUUAUUAAUUGAGAAUGAAAUAAAAUAAAAAUUUUGAUGAAUAAACGUUGACUUUACCCACUGAGAAUCUCACAAGAAAUCCAAACAAAAAAAAAAAAAAAAACGUUAAGAGGCUGGAAUCCACGGGUUAUGGCAGCCCUUCCUUUAUUAUCGUGGGGUAUAUCAGCAUCCUUCUCCAGAUAUUCCAACGAUGGAGGAGAGAAACAGAGAGAACAGUUGCGAAACCCAUAAUCACGGGAAAGCUCAGCAGAAUCACCCGAUUUCUUUCAUGGCAAAGAUCAACAGGCGAUCAGUCAAUGCUUAAGCGCGCGCAGCUGGUUCCACUCUCCAAACCCAUGGGAGCAGAACAAGCAAAAACGGAGGCCGGAGCCAGCUCCCGCUUCCCCAUCGACCAUCCGAAGAACAACAUAAAAAGCAAGAAGAAGGUAGGAGCGAGGAGAUAUCCAGGGGCGGCGGGGCAGCUCACCGAAGACAUCGGAGACGAGGAGGACGGCGAGGCCGGAGUCGGGGAAGCCGGCGACGUAGCUGCGGAGGCCGCCCAGGUCCUCCACGACGGAGCCAAGCCCGGCGGCGGAGUCCACAACCGGCGGGUUUGCACAGCACUGCGAGCUCGCCAUCGCCCCACCAACCACACACGGAGACGGGGAGCUGGAGAAGCAACGGUAGAUGGCGAUGAUCGGAGAUAAAGGGCAGUAGCUACGUCUGGUGCCUUCGGCAGCCACGAAGUUCCUCCCUUUUUAUGGGAAAAGGUGAGCCCAUUUGCCCGGCAGUUGACGUGUCUAGAUUUUUCCUCGGACGGGGGACCGCAUCGCCAGUGGUGACGUCCUCUGCAGCGCCCGUCUGAAAAUUGUGUUCGAACUUCUCUCAUCUCGAACAUCUGAAGGUUGAGCAAAAUAAUCCGUCUUACGGUCUAAAGAACUCGUUAGAUCAUAAAUCAGAUAGAAGUUUCAAGAUUUAAUGACAGUUAAAUUACUAUUGGAAAAACGUGGCAUCACAACCUUUGAAUCAGACAAAAUUAACUUUUCUCGCUUGGAAAACAAGAUCGAACAAAAAAUAAUGCAGAAAAGAAUAAGAUCGAACAAAGAAGAAUAUUUUAACUAAUCCCAAGAGACUAAAGUCCAAUCCAUACAUUUUAAAUAUGCUAUGUUGGACUUCAGUCUCUGACGUGUUUGAAGAUCCCAGACUUUUGUGCUCCAUAAAUAAGUUGGAUUUCAUCUUAUCUGACCGAAAAAAAUUUAAACACUUCUUGGGACCCAAUAGAUUAGAGAGAGAGAGAGAGAGAGAAGAAAGGGCAGGGAAAUAUGAAGUCAAAAUAAAUUGAUGGGACCCAAAGUACCUCAGAGAAGAAAACAAGGGAAGAGAGAGAGAGAGAAUUAAUCAAGAACAAUAAUGGAAUCGACACAACAACAACUAUAGUGCCUAAGGUGACCACUUUGAGAAGGUCGGACUCCAAUUACUACUUUCUGACCCCCACCCCUUCUCUCUACCAUAUACUUAUUAAUAACUAAGGACACCAAUCCUUUGACGUCCAUCCAUAACAACUAACAAUACCACUGAUACGACUUGUCAUUAGUCAACUGCACUAGUUCUUCCUAUCAAUUGUUGAUUAGUCCACAUUGGUUUCUUAAGCGUUGCUACUUAUGGGAAUGUUUAAUCGACGCAAGGGCUAUAUCAACACCUCUUCCCACGAGAUUGACCUCGUCGUCAAGGUAGAAAGUUCAAUAUUGUUGAUGAAACUUCUUGGCAUUCUCCCACAUAGCAUCUGAAUUUGGUAAGUUCUCCCAUUUGACUAAAAUGUCAAGAUCAUAAGGUUGCUGAUAGAUGGUGAGAAUAUACUUUACUUUGAACCUAGAUUCCAAGUGAGAUCCUCAUUUAACAAGUUCAGAGGUUGAAUGUGUUUGACUAUUCCAAGGGCCUUCUUAAGUUGAGAUACAUGUAUUACAAGAUAAAUAUUGGACAAAACAAGCAAAUCAAUUUUAUAAAUAGUGAUGCCAAUUCUCUCUAAUAUCUGAAAAUGUCUGAAAAAAUGAGACAAUUUCUCAUUAGCCUACCUUACAAGAAAAUAUUCAUGAUAAGAUCACAACUGGUAGAUAAACCUUGUCACCCACUAUGAAUUGGAUAUCACAUAAUAUUUUAUUUACUUGUAACUUUAUUCAAUAUUGUGCUCAAAAGAAAUGUCUAGAUAUACACAAAACAUAUAUUUUAUUUUUAUUAUUUAUUUAACCAUUCAACCAAAAUGGCCAAAAUGCUAAAAUGAGCAUGGUUUAUUCUUGAUGUCCUUAAAUAAUAAAUACGCUUAUAAUUUUUAUGCUUCUAGUUGAUACAAAUAUUUUUUUAUUAUAUAAUCAGAUUAUUUUUUUGAAAAAAAAUUGUCAACGAAGAAAAAUACCAUUUUCAAAGAAAAUAAAGAAUUUCGUCCUUAUAAAAGCCCAAUAUCUCAUCAGGGACCAGAGCCAGCCACGUUGACCACAGUAAUAUUAUUUUUUCAACUACUAAAACCGAAAGAUAUCCGCAACCCAUGCGUCCACAUACUUGGCAUAGCAUUGCUGACGUGGCACCAUUCACCAACUGCCACAUGACAUAGCAGAUGGGUUGACUUUUAUGAGGCUGUGAUUAAGCGGCCAUUUUUCAUGCCUUGAGGAUCCUGUUGAGCCAGUCAACCAGGUCUUGGUGGGCUUCCUCCGCCUUCUUCACCGCAAAUUCAUC